Molecule: long non-coding RNA, 1044 nt
Organism: Rosa rugosa (rugosa rose)
Lineage: Eukaryota; Viridiplantae; Streptophyta; Magnoliopsida; Rosales; Rosaceae
Exons: 6
Source: RefSeq, a predicted model, not a curated record
UUAUCUUCUUCUCUGCUCACCAAUCCUCAAAAGAACAACAACCCAAAAAAAAAAAUAAACAGAGAGAUACAGAAAGAGAGACCGGUAGGAUUGACGACAAAAAUGAGGUCACGCCGGCGAGAGUAGGAAGACCCACUUCUGGAAACAGACCGCUCAACAAAGAGAUCAAGGGCUUUGAGAUUCUGGUGUUCGCCCAAUACAGAGAAAGAGGAGAGCCGAAAGAAAAGGAGAAGAGAACGGGGAAGAAGGAAGUGAAGGAGAAGAGACAGACCGGAAGCUCUUGCUUAAAACAAGACAACUGGAAGGAAACAAAGAGGCAAGAAGCAGCCAACAUGGAGGAUAUUUUCCUUGAAGUAACUGCAUGCAACAAACAACUUCAAUUAUGACAACAAAUUUGGGGAAAGGAGGAUUUGAAAGUGUUUAUUGUUUUGGGAUGGAUCACAAUCUUUAUAAGAGAUCAACCACUCAGAUACAAAAGAAAAUACGGCAAAUCAGAUUGUGUGCGUUUUGGAAAAGUCCAGGUUUUUAAACUCCUACAGGCAAGGGUUUGAGAGUUUUAAGGAUUUUGCCACAAGUGGACACUGCUGUGAAGAAGAAGGUUGAGGAGAUACUGCCCAUUGCCACCAGCCAGUAGCUAGAGGAGCCUGCAGCUGAAGUUGAGUUAGGUGGUAAUAAUUAGACGGUUUCUGGAGUUGAUGGUCGAAUUUCUUCCCUCUUUGUCUCCAAGCAUGAGGUCAGAAAAAUGUUCACAGCUGAUUUUUAUUAGAAAUUCUGACUUCAAUUUGAAAAGGCCACCUGAUUGAACCAUGAAGCAUCAAAUAUUUGUUGCACAGCUAAAACAGAAAGCUGAUUGUCCAGAGGGAUACAAAUUCUAUCACAGAACAAUUUGUGGUAAUGGAAAUCAAAGGCUUGGAGGAAUCAGAUGAUAUGGAAGUACUUUCUAGAGCAGUGAACAGUUUGUGUCUCUUCACAAAAAAACUAUUGCAAUUGAUGUAAUAUAUAGUAUUUUAUUAGUUUGAUCAAUAAUAAAGUCAUUUUCAAUUA